CUCAGAGCUUUGCUCAAGGCCGAGCCGGCGCCUUCUCACCUCAGUCUCUCGCUUUCCUUGCAGGCUCCAGCUGAAGGCGAGGCAAAGGAGGAGCCAAAGAGAAGGUCAGCUAGACUAUCCGCUAAACCUGCUCCGCCUAAACCGGAGCCAAAGCCCAAAAAGGCAGCACCUAAGAAAGAAAAGGCGGCAAAUGAUAAAAAGGAGGACAAAAAGGCAGCAACAAAAGGGAAGAAAGGAGCCAAAGGCAAAGAUGAAACUAAACAAGAGGAUGCUAAAGAAGAAAACCACUCUGAAAACGGAGAUACCAAAACUAAUGAGGCACCAGCUGCUGAAGCAUCUGAUGAUAAGGAAGCCAAGUCCGAGUAAUGUUAACCCUGCCCUAUAUCUCCAUCAUUUGGUAUCCGUACCUCCAUGCUGUAUUGUUAACAGAGAGGAAUAUUUUUAUCAACUAUUUUAUAAAUGCAGGUUUUUUUAGCAUGAAUUUAAUUAUGGAACAUCUUCAUCUCGGUUACUUGGGAAUUAAAUCCCUAACAAACAAAACAAAACAAAACAAACAAAAAAAAAAUCAUUGUUUUUAAAUUUUGUGAUUGUAAUAGUUUGUAUGGUACAUGGAAAGAAUAAGUGGUGGUAGCUUUUGACUUCUGUCAGUGUGUCCCUUUUUGUGUAAGUCAUGCUUACAGACUUCAGAUUUUAAUUUUUCCCUUGUAUGUGUUGUAUGGUUUCUUAAAGUGGGGAGGUCUCAAAACAAAUAACCGUGUUAAACAUUCCAGUGGUUCUGUGGGUUGCUUUUAUAAAGAAGGUGAGCUAUUUUCAUGAAAAACCUAAGAGCUGGAAAUCUGUUGUUUCCCAAAUGUAAUUUUAUUUUGUCAGUUUUGAAAAAAAAAAAAUAAAGAAAUAAAAAAGUGUAAUCAUGUUUUUAAAUGAAAUACAAAACAUUUCUUUUAAAAGGGCAGGUUGGUUGUAUGUACCCACUGUUAGGAAUUUUGCUGGAUUUAUCUUAAUAAAAAAGACUCCUCAAAA
Athene cunicularia (burrowing owl) is the source of this 1020-nucleotide long non-coding RNA. RefSeq lists it as uncharacterized. NCBI's taxonomy places the organism in Eukaryota, Metazoa, Chordata, Aves, Strigiformes, Strigidae. The transcript is spliced from 5 exons. The record is from RefSeq and is a predicted model, not a curated record.